This 254-nucleotide ribosomal RNA is filed under the name Bacillus pumilus. RNAcentral describes it as "partial 16S ribosomal RNA". It matches the Rfam family "Bacterial small subunit ribosomal RNA", at positions 411 to 658 of the family's 1533-position model. The record is from RNAcentral. Lineage: Bacteria; Bacillati; Bacillota; Bacilli; Caryophanales; Bacillaceae.
AAGGUUUUCGGAUCGUAAAGCUCUGUUGUUAGGGAAGAACAAGUGCGAGAGUAACUGCUCGCACCAUGACGGUACCUAACCAGAAAGCCACGGCUAACUACGUGCCAGCAGCCGCGGUAAUACGUAGGUGGCAAGCGUUGUCCGGAAUUAUUGGGCGUAAAGGGCUCGCAGGCGGUUUCUUAAGUCUGAUGUGAAAGCCCCCGGCUCAACCGGGGAGGGUAUUGGAAACUGGGAAACUUGAGUGCAGAAGAGGA